GUGCUCGCUUCAGCAGCACAUAUAGUAAAAUUGGAACUAUACAGAGAAGAUUAGUAUGGCCCCUGUGCAAGGAUGACACUCAAAUUCGUGAAGUGUUCCAUAUUUUG
Molecule: small nuclear RNA, 107 nt
Organism: Tupaia belangeri (northern tree shrew)
Lineage: Eukaryota; Metazoa; Chordata; Mammalia; Scandentia; Tupaiidae
Source: Ensembl